Molecule: long non-coding RNA, 3396 nt
Organism: Canis lupus familiaris (dog)
Lineage: Eukaryota; Metazoa; Chordata; Mammalia; Carnivora; Canidae
Exons: 3
Source: RefSeq, a predicted model, not a curated record
GCCAUCUUCCUGCUCUCCCCCCCGCCCCCCAGCCCCUAACUCCGGGCCUGCACACAGGGGCUGCUGAGGAUGCAUCGUAAGGCUGCAUUCACGAUGUGGAGCCCUGUGGGGCAGAAGGUGAACGACCAGUGAUCUUUAACUCUAUUUGGGCUUGUUUUCAUCUCCAGGCCACUUUCAUUUCCGCCAGACACAUGGAAUAGGCAUCUAGAACUAGGAGGGCCGAGGAUCUGGUGCUGUGGAGACCCACGUCGGGUGUGGACAGCGGGCCUGGAGUCCAUAGCAUGCAGGGUCUGAGGUCAAGGCCAGGGUUCUAGUUGAAGGCCUGAGCUGGUACUUGGCACUUGUCAGCCUGACACCUGCUUCACAAAUGAGUGAUGUGACCAAGACCUGUGGGGUGACAGGGAGCUGGUGCCAGGAGCAGCCCUCUGCUGCCUGGAAGUGCUCAGUAAACACUUGUUAAUCAUUUCCUGCCUGGUGAGCCCUGCAGUGUGCCCAAGGGAGCCCUGGUUCACGUGGGGGACGGGAUGCUGUCAUCCACAUGGCCCAACCUCCUGCCCUUCUGGCUCUCUGGGAGCUGGGCUGGUGGCGCCAACCUGAGGAAGCGGGCAGUGAGGGUGUCAGCAAGGGGGCCUCACUGCUGCCAGGUGGCCUCUUGACCCAGUGAGCUAAACAGAAGCAUGUGACAUACCCUGCAGGUGGCCACCCAGGGACUCUGGGAUGCUGGGGCCUCACUUGAUCACAUACCCAGAUCCCUUCUACUCAACUCUCUUCAGAGGAAGUCCUGCCUGGUGGAGGGGGGCGGUGUUGGUGAGGACAGCCUCUGGGAUCUUUGCUUUGACUUUUGGGUGUUUCUCUGCAUGCAGGCAGGUGGCCCUAAGCCAGGAGGCUGGGAGUUAGUCUUGCUGAAGUCAGGCUGAGCAAGUGAGUUCUGGAAUGUUCAGGGGCAGCCAGAGUGUCCCUGUGUCCAGGCAUAGGGGGCUGUUUAGGCCAACUGUUAUGGGACUCUUAUCUCUGGAGCAACCCCUUCUCUGUCUUAGAACCCACUAGGGCUGUGAGAACACAUAUGGGUCUAUCUUCUAUUCUGUGGGAGAAGAAAAAGAGAUUUGUGGUCAAGCAAAUUUGGAGAACUCUGGGCUAACCCAAAUCCAACAGGUGUCUUUCCUGAAGGACUUCUAAGAAACUUUAAUAUUCUUCUGACCCUUUAAGAGAGAGAGGAGUAUAAAAAAGCCCUAUUUACUGUGGAUUUUUAUCUUACCUCCUGUUUCUCUCUCUCUCUUUGGAAGUAUCUUAUGAGACCGGUGUUUUCGAGAACCUGCCAUAGGAAACUCAUUCAUUCAUUCAGCAAAUAUUUAUUGAAGACUCACUAUGUGCCAGUGACCAUUCUAGGUACUUGGGAUACAUCAUGACCAGUUCAGACCAAGAGUCCUUCCCUGGAGCAACUUACGUUAUCAUUGAAACAACGAAGUGCUGUUCGUGGAGCACCUACUCUGUGUUAGGCAUGUCCAAUGGAGAAACUCCUCUGAGGCUCUGGGUCAGGCAGAGAAAGAUGAAUGGCUCCAGAACAGCAGCCACCGUUUCGUGGGUUCCGAAGGAAGCUGGGUUGGCCGGAUUGGAGGUCUUGAGUGGCUCGAACUGACCCGAAUGUCACAUGUGUGGUUUGAGCCGAGCUGCGGGCUGUGGAUUCCUUGUUGGUGCCAGCUGCCCACCUUCUUCCUGCUUCUGGUGCCAAGGAUUCUAAGCUGGAACACACAGGAUGAGCCGGGUAUGCUCUUUGCAGCUAUUUGCCAUUCAUUAUGCUCAAGGCAGCUUUGGGGAGAGAAGGAAAGGAGGAGCCGUGGGACUGAUGAGGAUCCUGAGGUUGAAUGACUUUCUCCAUUGGGUGAUGCCUAAGCCUGUACCCCAACAUGAGACUGGACUGCCCCAGUGUGAGCUCACUGCACCCUGCUGUAGGGGUAGAAGGUGGCCUGGGAGGAGCUCAGGAUAUAGGAUUUGGACCACAUGACGCUUGAGUCCUGGCCACAACUGUGUGCAUGUAGGCAUGUCACUCCCCUGAGCUUCAGUAGCGUCAUCUUUAAAAGGGGCAUCCUAAUUCCUGCCCUGCCAGCUUGAGAAAAUGAGGGAGUGUGUGUGGUGUUAAAUGCCAUGCCUGUAUGCCAUGCCCUGUCUGCAUUGUGCUAGUGGUGACAAUGAUAGUGAUGGCAUUGCUGCUGCUAGUUGGCAAACAUUACAGGUACGUUGGCUCUGGACCAGUCACUGGGAUCAACUUUACAUGCAUCAUCUUAAUGAGAGCAUGAAAUAAGCAGAUGAGUAGGGACUCUGAUACCCUCUUCUUACAGAUGGAAAAGAUUAAAUAAUUUGCUUGAAAAAGAUUAAGUAGUUUGCUCAAAGUCACAGAGCUGUCAAGUGGUAGAGCCAGGAUUUGAACCCAGGCAGCUGACCCUACAGCUGAACUUACUGCCACAGUCAUAUAGGAAAGGGCAGAAGUCUGGGACCUUUUUGGGUAAUGGCAUUCCAUGCACAUCGGUGUGGAAGGGCACUCUGAAUCCUCUGGGGCAGGGACUGGGCUUGGGUGGUCCCUGGAGGGGCCUUAGAAUCAGAGACUUAGUGGGAUAAGAGCCCUGGGUGAUAGAACUCAUCUCUGAGCUUCAGAUUUCUCACUUGUGAGAUGGGCUAUGCUGAUAUGCCUCCAGAGAUUAAAUGAAAUACAGUCCCGUAGAUGCUUGUACAUUGCUAUCAAAAUGUCUGUGGUACAUGAAUGACAUUCUGCAAACAGGGAGAGUAGACGUAAACUAGUAGGAACGGCCACCUCUGGUUUUUAGGAUCCUGUUCCUUGCCAGAUGGCUUUAUCACUGCCAGAGCUCUGCCUAUGGAGCAUGGGGUCACCUCCCGGCUGGGGAGCGGCAGCUGUGUGAUGGCCACUCCAAGCAAGCCACUGACCUUGUGCUUCUCCUCUGUGAGGGGUGUGCCUCCUGCACUCCUGCCUGUGUGCACCGUGUCUGCAGAUGUGCUCUGAUGGACCUGGGAAGCACCUUGCAGGGCCCUGCCAGGCCUACCAGCUGCAGAGUGCCUGUAGGGGAAUGGAUGCAGGGACGAGGCUGAGGAUGGGUGAGUGUGUCACAAGUUUCUCAGACAGCUCUGGGCAGAGAUGCCAGGAAGCAGAAAGUCAUAGGAUCAUCGUUGACUCCUGGGAACUUUUGUGGUUUUAAAAGUACUUUAUAAACUAUAAAGCCCUGUGGAAAUGUCAGUUAGUUCCUGUACAACAUGGAACAGAAACAGAAUGCACAAGAAAUAAUGGAUCUACCAGGCUGGGGUGGGGAGAUGCAUGUGUUUGCAUGUAUGAACGCGAUUUAUUUCUGAUUUAAAAAAAUCAGAUCUUGGAAAACAGCACUGGAAUAA